RNAcentral lists this ribosomal RNA (423 nucleotides) under uncultured eukaryotic phytoplankton. Its description in RNAcentral is "bacterial SSU rRNA". It matches the Rfam family "Bacterial small subunit ribosomal RNA", at positions 358 to 795 of the family's 1533-position model. The record is from RNAcentral.
GGAAUUUUCCGCAAUGGGCGAAAGCCUGACAGAGCAAUACCGCGUGAGGGAUGACAGCCCUAUGGGUUGUAAACCUCUUUUUUCAGGGAGGAAGUUCUGACGUUACCUGAAGAAUAAGCAUCGGCUAACUCCGUGCCAGCAGCCGCGGUAAGACGGAGGAUGCAAGUGUUAUCCGGAAUCACUGGGCGUAAAGCGUCUGUAGGUGGUUUAAUAAGUCAACUGUUAAAUCUUGAGGCUCAACUUCAAAAUCGCAGUCGAAACUAUUCAACUAGAGUAUAGUAGGGGUAAAGGGAAUUUCCAGUGGAGCGGUGAAAUGCGUAGAUAUUGGAAAGAACACCGAUGGCGAAGGCACUUUACUGGGCUAUUACUAACACUCAGAGACGAAAGCUAGGGUAGCAAAUGGGAUUAGAUACCCCAGUAGUC